Non-coding RNA from Cordylochernes scorpioides, 114 nucleotides. NCBI's taxonomy places the organism in Eukaryota, Metazoa, Arthropoda, Arachnida, Pseudoscorpiones, Chernetidae. The record is from the annotation of a GenBank genome assembly.
AUAUAUAUAUUGUGAUUGUGGAAUCUAUUAUCAUUACUCACCGAAGUUAAGCAAUGUCGGGCCCGGUCAGUACUUGGGAGGGUGACCACCUGGGAACACCGGGUGCUGUAGGCU